AUUGAACGCUGGCGGCAUGCCUUACACAUGCAAGUCGAACGGCAGCACGGGAGCAAUCCUGGUGGCGAGUGGCGAACGGGUGAGUAAAGUAUCGGAACGUGCCCAGUCGUGGGGGAUAACGUAGCGAAAGUUACGCUAAUACCGCAUACGAUCUAUGGGUGAAAGCGGGGGAUCGCAAGACCUCGCGCGAUUGGAGCGGCCGAUAUCAGAUUAGGUAGUUGGUGGGGUAAAGGCUCACCAAGCCGACGAUCUGUAGCUGGUCUGAGAGGACGACCGGCCACACUGGGAAUUAGACACGGCCCAGACUCCUACGGGAGGCAGCAGUGGGGAAUUUGGGACAAUGGGCGAAAGCCUGAUCCAGCCAUGCCGCGUGCAGGAUGAAGGCCUUCGGGUUGUAAACUGCUUUUGUACGGAACGAAAAGGUUUGGCCUAAUAAGCUGAGCUCAUGACGGUACCGUAAGAAUAAGCACCGGCUAACUACGUGCCAGCCGCCGCUGUAA
RNAcentral lists this ribosomal RNA (500 nucleotides) under uncultured bacterium. Its description in RNAcentral is "partial 16S ribosomal RNA". It matches the Rfam family "Bacterial small subunit ribosomal RNA", at positions 30 to 523 of the family's 1533-position model. The record is from RNAcentral.